AGGUAUUGUCUUCGCAUGGUUGCAACGGGUAACGGAGGGUUAGGGCUCGACCCCGGAGAAGGAGCCUGAGAAACGGCUACUACAUCCAAGGAAGGCAGCAGGCGCGCAAAUUACCCAAUCCCGACACGGGGAGGUAGUGACAAUAAAUACUGAUACAGGGCUCUUUUGGGUCUUGUAAUCGGAAUGAGUACAAUUUAAAUCCCUUAACGAGGAACAAUUGGAGGGCAAGUCUGGUGCCAGCAGCCGCGGUAAUUCCAGCUCCAAUAGCGUAUAUUAAAGUUGUUGUGGUUAAAAAGCUCGUAGUUGAACCUUGGGCCUGGCUGGCCGGUGCCCCUCACCGGGUGCACUGAUCCAGCCGGGCCUUUCCCUCUGUGGAACCCCAUGGCGUUCACAGGCGG
This 398-nucleotide ribosomal RNA is filed under the name Lomentospora prolificans. Its description in RNAcentral is "Scedosporium prolificans Eukaryotic small subunit ribosomal RNA". It matches the Rfam family "Eukaryotic small subunit ribosomal RNA", at positions 331 to 728 of the family's 1831-position model. Lineage: Eukaryota; Fungi; Ascomycota; Sordariomycetes; Microascales; Microascaceae. The record is from Rfam by way of RNAcentral.